Molecule: ribosomal RNA, 428 nt
Filed under: uncultured bacterium
Lineage: Bacteria
Description: partial 16S ribosomal RNA
Rfam family: Bacterial small subunit ribosomal RNA
Source: RNAcentral
GUAGGGAAUAUUGCACAAUGGGGGAAACCCUGAUGCAGCGACGCCGCGUGAGUGAUGAAGGCCUUCGGGUCGUAAAGCUCUGUCGUAUGGGACUAACAAAAUGAAGGUACCAUGCAAGAAAGGAUCGGCUAACUUCGUGCCAGCAGCCGCGGUAAGACGAGGGAUCCUAGCGUUGUUCGGAAUUAUUGGGCGUAACGCGGGUGUAGGCGGGCCUGUCAGUCAGGUGUGAAAUCCCAGGGCUUAACCCUGGAAGUGCACUUGAUACUGCAGGUCUUGAGUGUGGUAGAGGCUAUUAGAAUUCUUGGUGUAGUGGUGAAAUACGUAGAUAUCAAGAGGAAUACCGGAGGCGAAGGCGGAUAGCUGGGCCAACACUGACGCUGAGACCCGAAAGCGUGGGGAUCAAACAGGAUUAGAUACCCUAGUAGUCC